CUACGUGCCAGCAGCCGCGGUAAUACGGAAGGUUCGGGCGUUAUCCGGAUUUAUUGGGUUUAAAGGGAGCGUAGGCCGGAGAUUAAGUGUGUUGUGAAAUGUAGACGCUCAACGUCUGACUUGCAGCGCAUACUGGUUUCCUUGAGUACGCACAACGUUGGCGGAAUUCGUCGUGUAGCGGUGAAAUGCUUAGAUAUGACGAAGAACUCCGAUUGCGAAGGCAGCUGACGGGAGCGCAACUGACGCUGAAGCUCGAAGGUGCGGGUAUCGAACAGGAUUAGAUACCCUGGUAGUCCGCACAGUAAACGAUGGAUGCCCGCUGUUGGUACCUGGUAUCAGCGGCUAAGCGAAAGCAUUAAGCAUCCCACCUGGGGAGUACGCCGGCAACGGUGAAACUCAAAGGAAUUGACGGGGGCCCGCACAAGCGGAGGAACAUGUGGUUUAAUUCGAUGAUACGCGAGGAACCUUACCCGGGCUUGAAUUGCAGAGGAAGUAUUUAGAGAUA
RNAcentral lists this ribosomal RNA (505 nucleotides) under uncultured bacterium. RNAcentral describes it as "bacterial SSU rRNA". It matches the Rfam family "Bacterial small subunit ribosomal RNA", at positions 501 to 1008 of the family's 1533-position model. The record is from RNAcentral.